Molecule: long non-coding RNA, 1668 nt
Organism: Ipomoea triloba (trilobed morning glory)
Lineage: Eukaryota; Viridiplantae; Streptophyta; Magnoliopsida; Solanales; Convolvulaceae
Exons: 3
Source: RefSeq, a predicted model, not a curated record
AGUUUAACUUCAGCCGAUGCCUCCAUCGCCAAACACCAUUCCGCCUUCGCCAUCUGAGCAGCAGCGGCGCCCUUGGUCUUCCCUUCUCUCUCCUCUCCCUCUCGGCUAGCGGCGACCAUGGCAGCAGCGGAGACCAGCAGUUUUCCCGACGGCAGCAAGAAACAACGACAGUGGCUAUGGCGGCGAGUUAUUUUCUCUGGCGGAGCUUAUUCCCCGGCAGAGCUGUGACGACGGGCAGAAAAGGCAGCGCGGCAGUACCUUUCUCCCUCUUCCCUGUUUCCCGACGAGGUUCCAUGGUUGCCGGCUUAGCUCAUCGCGUAGCAGUUCGGCGGUGGUUGGCGACCUCCCUCCUCCUCUCCGGCAGUUGUCUUCCUCAACAACGACGUUUAUGAAAUGGAGAUUGCUCUGAUGGUAUUUUGGUACAGACAAGGAUGAUUCAAAGCUAUAUAUAUUUCUUGAUGUAGUCCACAGGUAACUGAAUAAAUGUCUUGAUGUUUCUCUUGCUUGAAUCAUUAUUCUAUUGUUCAGGAUAAGCUUUAAAGUGUAACAUGUGUUCUCUUGAUGCUUGAACAUAUGAAGUUUUCUUGUUGAUUCUAGUACACUGUAGAAGAAGUGUAAUAAUUUUUGCAAUUUAUAUUAAGUUCAAGUAUCUAAUCAGGUUGUCACUACUUUUGAAUGUACUAGCAUAGUAUAAAAUAUUUUCCUUGUAAAUUCAAUUUUAAAUAUGUUUUGGAAGUCUUCAUUAUUUUGUUUUCCUAGAGAUAUUAAAUGCGCAAACAUAUGCGUGGAUGCUGCUGGGAGAGUCAAACUUGCAGAUUUUGGCCUAGCUAAGGCCACCAAACUGAAUGAUGUGAAGUUCUGUGAGGGCACUGCCUUCUAGAUGGCUCUUGAAGUUAGUUGUGAUUCCUUUACCGAUAAUUAUCAUACAAUUUUGUUCUUCUUGGGGUUGCAUAGUAAACUAAAUCUUUAAUGCCUUGUUAUGACUAAUAUGUAAUGAAUAUAAACAUCAAACGCGUGAUUGCUGAAAUAAAAGGCCAUCAUGUAAGGAAGCAUUGGCAUUAAAUAAUUCCAUUCUCUUUUGUUUGCUCAGUUGCUUGAAACUAUAAACUUUUUCCUAUACUAUUCUUCUAAUUAGUAAUUGUGUUAAUUGCUUCUUUUACUUUUAAUUCUUUUUUUUUUGAGGAAAUUACUUUUAAUUCUUUUAAUUCUAAUUGGAUUAAUUUUGUAGGGACACUACUCCGUAGCAGUGGGAAAGAAAGUUAGGAAUUAGAGGAUAAUUGUAUGUGCAAUCUUAUUUAGGAAUUGGACUAAUUUUUGUAGGGACACCUUGCAAAUUCCAGCUGCAAGUUAGAUAUAAUUUAGAUUAUAAAUUAAAGCUGCAAACAUACAUUGGCAUUCUUGUAGUCUUGUAGUUUCCUUGGUGAUUAUGUUUCCUUGCUCUAAAUGUUGUUUGUGCAGUGACCAAGUGAUAUUGCAGUUGGUAUGCUAUGAACAUCAGAGCUGUGACCCUCUUCUAGUUAUGAGUGUUAUUUAUAACUUUUAUGACUAUUUACUUCAAAGAAAAUUCAUUCUUUUAUGACUAUUUGGUUUGGAAUUGUAAUUAUGUAAUUUCAUUCUUUUGUAACUUUCAAUUAUUUUUAAUUUGAAUUGUAAAUAUGUAAUUUCAUU